Molecule: long non-coding RNA, 870 nt
Organism: Hypomesus transpacificus
Lineage: Eukaryota; Metazoa; Chordata; Actinopteri; Osmeriformes; Osmeridae
Exons: 2
Source: RefSeq, a predicted model, not a curated record
ACUUGUUCAGAACAUGUAUAAAAGGACUACUUUUUACUAUGAAGAGUUAGACAACUCUGGACCGCCAUAGACUUGUCUCCUUGUUGCAAGCUGCAAGAAAUUAACUUUCUAAUAGGUGAUUCCAUCACCUCUGUGCACUACUUGAGAAAAGAUUUUCCUAACACAGGACAUUAUGAAGCUCCAAUGGAUACUUCUCCUAGGGGCCUGCGCGGUGGUGAGGGCAGCAAAUACACCCCCUCUUUACGACCGUUUUCUCCAGAACCACAUAAUAGAGAGACUGAACACUGACGACUGUUCUAGCGUCAUGCAAAACCUGAAGCUGAAUGAGACUGGUACUGAGAACUGCAUUUCUGACCACACGUUCAUAGUUCAUGACAUGUUGAGAUCUGUUUAUCUGAUCUGUAAUGAAUCUGGAAAUAUUGUCUCUAAGAAUAUAUACAAGAGCCAACAACUAUUCUUACUUGUUCAUUGUAGCCGAUCCAGUGGCACUCAAUACCCCAAUUGUUCAUACAGAGGUUCUGCAUCACGACGUGCAGUCAAAGUUUCUUGUGAACCGGGUCUUCAAAAAAACAGUAGCAUACUCUGGCCGACCCACCUUCUUAAUUAAUCAGUUGUACCAUUUUUAUUUCAGUAAGUGGACAAUACGCCACUGCCACUACACAAUUUGCCAUCAAAUGUGAUAUAAACUGGCCAGUACAAUUUAAAAGAAUUGGGUCCAAUAUGAUCAUUGUGUUAUUGGUGGAUUCCAUUUAAAGUAAUGAGUUCUUGUUUUCUUGAUUUGCUCUCACUUGUCACAAAUGCAUCUGACAAUUUUAAUUGUAACUAAAGUGUGAAAAUAUAUUAAAUAAAUGCUCCUGUGUGGCCAGCCUG